UACGGAGGAUGCGAGCGUUAUCCGGAUUUAUUGGGUUUAAAGGGUGCGUAGGCGGGAUGCCAAGUCAGCGGUAAAAACGCGGUGCUCAACGCCGUCGAGCCGUUGAAACUGGCGUUCUUGAGUGGGCGAGAAGUAUGCGGAAUGCGUGGUGUAGCGGUGAAAUGCAUAGAUACCACGCAGAACUCCGAUUGCGAAGGCAGCAUACCGGCGCCCUACUGACGCUGAGGCACGAAAGCGUGGGUAUCGAACAGG
Molecule: ribosomal RNA, 252 nt
Filed under: uncultured bacterium
Lineage: Bacteria
Description: partial 16S ribosomal RNA
Rfam family: Bacterial small subunit ribosomal RNA
Source: RNAcentral